AUAAUUUAUACGUCUAGAUAUUCUCGUGCUGUUAAACAACCGAUAAAAACAGGCCAGAAAUAUUAGUUUAGUGUGCGUGACAAGCUACGUCGUACACUCGCGAUUUGUAUGACACUUUGUGUUUGUGUGCGUGAAUUGCUCAAAAUAGAGGUGGGAACGAUGAUAGUUACAAAGGCAACAAGCACCCAGUGCAUCCAACCCGUCAGGAAUUACUGGCGAAACUCUUCAGGGAUUAUCAGUUCCAUAACUAAUUAUGAUCAUUGUACAUGACUUUAUUUACUUAACUGCUUGUAUAAGAUAGUAAUCAACAUAUUUAAAUUGCAAUGCUUUUGUGAUUAAAUUAUUUCACCUAGAGA
This is a long non-coding RNA of Leptidea sinapis, 356 nucleotides long. RefSeq lists it as uncharacterized. The transcript has 2 exons. Lineage: Eukaryota; Metazoa; Arthropoda; Insecta; Lepidoptera; Pieridae. The record is from RefSeq and is a predicted model, not a curated record.